CCUACGGGAGGCAGCAGUGGGGAAUAUUGGGCAAUGGGCGCAAGCCUGACCCAGCAACGCCGCGUGAAGGAAGAAGGCUUUCGGGUUGUAAACUUCUUUUGACAGGGAAGAGGAGAAGACGGUACCUGUCGAAUAAGCCACGGCUAACGACGGGCCAGCAGCCGCGGUAAUACGUAGGUGGCAAGCGUUGUCCGGAUUUACUGGGUGGAAAGGGCGUGUAGCCGGGUGGAAAAGUAAGAUGUGAAAUCCUGCGGCUUAACCGCAGAACGGCCUUUGAAACUGUUGAUCUUGAGUACUGGAGAGGCAGCCGGACUUCCUUGUGUAGCGGUGACAUGCGUAGAUAUU
Molecule: ribosomal RNA, 345 nt
Filed under: uncultured bacterium
Lineage: Bacteria
Description: partial 16S ribosomal RNA
Rfam family: Bacterial small subunit ribosomal RNA
Source: RNAcentral